Molecule: ribosomal RNA, 751 nt
Filed under: uncultured marine archaeon
Lineage: Archaea
Description: bacterial SSU rRNA
Rfam family: Archaeal small subunit ribosomal RNA
Source: RNAcentral
CGCUAUUGGAGUUCGAUUAAGCCAUGCGAGUCAAGAGUCUUAGGGACUCGGCGUACCGCUCAGUAACACGUGGGUAACCUGCCCUAUGCUGGGGAAUAACCUCGGGAAACUGAGAAUAAUGCCCCAUAGUCCACAAUGCCUGGAACGGUUUGUGGAUCAAAGCUCCGGCGGCAUAGGAUGGGCCUGCGGCGUAUCAGGUUGUAGGGGGUGUAACGUACCCUCUAGCCAUCAACGCGUACGGGUGUUGGGAGACAUAGCCCGGAGAUGGAUUCUGAGACACGAAUCCAGACCCUACGGGGUGCAGCAGGCGCGAAAACUUGGCAAUGCGAGAAAUCGUGACCAGGGAACUCCAAGUGGCUGGGGUAAGACCCAGUCUUUUCUUGACUCUUCAACGGUCUUGGAAUAAGGGGUGGGUAAGGACGGUGCCAGCCGCCGCGGUAAUACCGGCGCCUCAAGUGGUAGUCGAUUUUAUUGGGCCUAAAACGUCCGUAGCCUGUUUGGUACAUUCGUGGGUAAAUCAACCAGCUCAACUGGUUGAAUUCUGCGAGCACGGCCAGACUUGGGACCGGGAGAGGUGUGGGGUACGCUCAGGGUAGGGGUAAAAUCCUGUCAUCCUGAGCGGACCACCUGUUGCGAAGGCGCCACACUAGAACGGAUCCGACGGUCAGGGACGAAGCCUAGGGGCACGAACCGGAUUAGAUACCCGGGUAGUCCUAGGUGUAAACGCUGUGGACUUGGUGUUGGGGACUCU